Molecule: non-coding RNA, 73 nt
Organism: Mauremys mutica (yellowpond turtle)
Lineage: Eukaryota; Metazoa; Chordata; Testudines; Geoemydidae
Source: the annotation of a RefSeq genome assembly
GGCCGGCUAGCUCAGUUGGUUAGAGUAUGGUGCUAAUAACGCCAAGGUCAUGGGUUAAAGCCCAUGCUGGCCA